UUCAACGGAAUAGAAUCUUGAACUUGUUUCUCUACACAGGGCACAUGCCUGCAGAAACUUUAUAGUUUGGAAAUACUCCUUUUUUGAAAAGUACACCUUUGUUUUUCCUAGCGUGAUUGUUUUUAUAACUGUGCUGUGAUUUCUUAUGGAGUGAUCUAAUUUUGAAUGGUAUUUUAAUGAAUGAAUAUCAAUAUUUGGUGCAUGUAUUAUGUAAUCAUAUGGGAAUAUACAUCUGUAAGACUGAUUGAAAGUGUCAAUACUCAUUUUAAACAUUUGACAUAUAACUUGUGUGCUUCUCUACUAAAUAGAGUCAAAUGUUGUGAAUAGGAACACUAUUUUUUUGAUUAUUUCUGUUCUGGUUGUUUCCCUUGAAUUGUGUGAAUUUUUGGAAUUACUAUGAAAUACAAACAAAACACAGGAUACAGUUCAGAAAUGUUGCAUUUAAUUCAUUAAACAUUAUAUUUUAAUAUAACAAAAGCUUUUUGUUUUAUUAUGCAUAUAUUAAAAAACUUAAGGUGGCAGGGGAUAUAUCAGUGAAAGGGGGGGUCCAUGAAAAUUACAUAUCUUUAGGGUAGGUGUUACCUAUGGUCUUUAAAAAUCAAUUAGGUAUUUAUAAGAUGUAUUUCUUGUGUUAGGUUGUAGAAAGAAUGUCUCAAAAUUUUGGAAAAAAACAUUACAACUAGCCACAGCUCCCUAGCAAGGAAAUUUUGAAUCUUCAAAAAGGAGGUUUUCACUUUUGUCGGAAGUCAAUAUUUCACGCUGCAGAAACAGAACAAAAUUUUGAAGACUGUGGUACUGUUUGAUGUGGUCGCAGUUUAAUAGGGAGAACGAGUGGACCCCGAGAACGAUUACACGCAUUCAAGACAUCGUUAGCCACAGAAUCACCCAAUCGCACUACACUUUCCAGACUGUGGUACUGUUUGAUGUGGUCGCAGUUUAAUAGGGAGAACGAGUGGACCCCGAGAACGAUUACACGCAUUCAAGACAUCGUUAGCCACAGAAUCACCCAAUCGCACUACACUUUCCAGACUGUGGUACUGUUUGAUGUGGUCGCAGUUUAAUAGGGAGAACGAGUGGACCCCGAGAACGAUUACACGCAUUCAAGACAUCGUUAGCCACAGAAUCACCCAAUCGCACUACACUUUCCAGACUGUGGUACUGUUUGAUGUGGUCGCAGUUUAAUAGGGAGAACGAGUGGACCCCGAGAACGAUUACACGCAUUCAAGACAUCGUUAGCCACAGAAUCACCCAAUCGCACUACACUUUCCAGACUGUGGUACUGUUUGAUGUGGUCGCAGUUUAAUAGGGAGAACGAGUGGACCCCGAGAACGAUUACACGCAUUCAAGACAUCGUUAGCCACAGAAUCACCCAAUCGCACUACACUUUCCAGACUGUGGUACUGUUUGAUGUGGUCGCAGUUUAAUAGGGAGAACGAGUGGACCCCGAGAACGAUUACACGCAUUCAAGACAUCGUUAGCCACAGAAUCACCCAAUCGCACUACACUUUCCAGGUCAGGGUCUGAAUUCAACGGAAUAGAA
Dreissena polymorpha is the source of this 1540-nucleotide long non-coding RNA. RefSeq lists it as uncharacterized. The transcript has 7 exons. The record is from RefSeq and is a predicted model, not a curated record. Lineage: Eukaryota; Metazoa; Mollusca; Bivalvia; Myida; Dreissenidae.